UCCAGCCGCGGCCGCCGCCCCCACGUCCCACCGCGGCCACUGCCCUGCCCCCUCAAGCGUCCUCAAGUGCGGCAAGGGCCUCAAGCUGCAGAAGCGCCUGGCCUCGAGCGUCCUCAAGUGCGGCAAGGGCAAGGUCUGGCUCGACCCCAAUGAGGUUAACCCACCCCCUUCCUCUCUCUCCCUCGUCGCGCGUCUCGAUUUUCUCGCGUAUUCCGUAGAUCUGUGGGCAGGUGGUGCUCCACGCGGUUUAGGUGAUUCGAGGCGGGUAGAUCCCUGCUUGCUUGUGCGGCGCUUGCUCAUAGAUCACAUGAGCAGCCUCGGGUUGCUUUGGUGGCGGUUUAUUUCUUGCGCUUGUGACGAUGCAAUUCGACCCUGAUUCCUGGCCUUGCGCUGUUCCUGGUGCCCGAUGCUGCUGUUCCUGAUGCCCGCUGCUGCUGCUGCUUUCAUGGCGGUUUAUUUCUUUGAUAUCAGGAAGGAAUUCAGGAUGAACAGGAUGCCGCCAUCCCUUCUUGUUGAUGCUUUGUUCAUCACAUCAGGAUUCCUGUUGUCGCAUGGAUUCGAUUGGUGUCUAUGGAUGUCUCUUUCUGCAUGUGUGCACAUGUCCCAGUGGAUUUUGCAGCUGUGCACCAACUUAUUUUUGGCGACCAAACACCAUUGUUUGUAAAUUAAUUCACCGUUACUGUUGCUGAUUUGAUCCAAAUUAGAGUGAGUCCUGAAAUCUGUUGUUCUAGGAGUUGAGUCCUAUUUGGCGUGCAUUCCUAACUAUAGAAAUCUGUUGUCCCCAAAUAUGUUGUUCGAGGAUGUAGAGCGCCGGGAGAGCGGCACCGACGAGGAACCUGCCCACGAUGUGUGCGGCAAGGAGGAGGUGCUCGGGGCCGAGGAAGACGGGCGCGGACGGGUUGGGCUUCCCGGGGCGUUGCGGGAAGACGAGCGUAGCCAGGAGGAGUAGGUAGGGAAAGGAUGGCGGCUCGCCGGCAGGUCAUCGGCGCCUCCUUGAACCAAUGCCAAGGAGGUCUAUGUCGCAGGUUUGAAGGCGCCUGACAAGCCCAUCGUCGCGCCGCCGACCUGCUGACAUUCGAGGUCGGCACCCGUGCGAACUCAGAAAUGUACAAAGGACUGACAUGUGUCAUCUAUAGCAUGUCCCCUUUGUCUGAAUGUUCAACUAGAAGAGUUUCAUCUCAUUUGGCAAGGAGCAUUGCAAUAAUACAUGCAACUCUUCACAGCUACUAACAUGAAGUUGCACUCAGGCUCUCGCAUGGACUAAAGAGUUAUUGUCGUUGUCCCGUGACACGGAUCACUUGUUCCUGGAACUUCCCUGGCUGAAGGAGAAACUGGAGAAGUACAUUGACGAGGCCUCGGCGACUGGAUCAUGGAGCCCAAACGUGCUUCGCACCACCACGGAUGCUUGAUUGAAAGAAGGGUUGGAGCCUCGCUGCAUCACCAGGGAUUUGAAAUGGGACGUCCCUGUCCCACACGAGAAGUACAAGGAUAAGGUUUGCCAUCUGAGCACACAGAGAUUCAUUGUGAAAAUUUAUCUCUCUCCAUGUUGUAUUAAUGUUUGUCCAUGUGAUGAACCGUUCCCAAUUAGCUUGGCCAUCUGCAUUAGUCAUGAUUUGCUACUGAUUCUUUUUGGUUUAUUAUGUAUCUUUGACUAUCGAACUCCAUGGACAUGUUUUUAUUUUCCUGUUGUCUUGAGAGCACACAUA
Molecule: long non-coding RNA, 1706 nt
Organism: Triticum dicoccoides
Lineage: Eukaryota; Viridiplantae; Streptophyta; Magnoliopsida; Poales; Poaceae
Exons: 3
Source: RefSeq, a predicted model, not a curated record